GAGUACUUUGUCUAACAUCAAAACCAUUGAGACCAUCAGUGACAUUGGUGCUUGCGUGGCUGUGGACAACAUCCAUCAGAACUCGUAGACCUAAGCUGUGAGCUUUAUCAAUUAGAUACUUGAGGUCCUCAGGUGUUCCUGAUCUGCUGCUAACAGCAAAGAAGUUUGUGACAUGAUAGCCGAAAGAUCCAUAAUACGAAUGCUCCAUGAUAGCCAUCAAUUGAACAGUAUUAUAGUUGUU
This 241-nucleotide unclassified non-coding RNA is filed under the name Hevea brasiliensis (rubber tree). Lineage: Eukaryota; Viridiplantae; Streptophyta; Magnoliopsida; Malpighiales; Euphorbiaceae. The record is from RNAcentral.